UGGAGCACUGGCUAAAAAAAGAGUUUGAACUGAUGAUUUAGGAUGAAAUUGAGAACGGUUUCCUUCCUCUGAAUUAGGCUGAGUAAAGUUGAAACUACCUAUCCUUACUCUCUUAUUUUGCUCUUCUAUCUGCUGAGCAUGAGUUAUAAGCCUGGCUAUGUUCAUGUCACUAUUCAACAUCACGGACCUGGACUCAUUGACCACACUCUCGUUCACCCAAGAAAUAAACUUACUCAUUUUGUCCCUUCUAUCUGCAAGCACAUGAGGAGCAUAUCUGGCAACAACUGACUGAUCAAGAGUAGUGACUGUAGCUCUGAACUCUGUAUGAGAGACAUACUUACCCAAAAGAUCUUCG
This 355-nucleotide long non-coding RNA is filed under the name Capsicum annuum. RNAcentral describes it as "long non-coding RNA (CANN_LNC002701)". The record is from RNAcentral. Lineage: Eukaryota; Viridiplantae; Streptophyta; Magnoliopsida; Solanales; Solanaceae.